CAUAUCAAUAAGCGGAGGAAAAGAAACCAACAGGGAUUGCCUUAGUAACGGCGAGUGAAGCGGCAAAAGCUCAAAUUUGAAAUCUGGCGUCUUCGGCGUCCGAGUUGUAAUUUGAAGAAGGCUACUUUGGGGCUGGAGUUUGUCUAAGUUCCUUGGAACAGGACGUCACAGAGGGUGAGAAUCCCGUGAGAUAAGCUUCCCAGUUCUAUGUAAAGUGCUUUCGAAGAGUCGAGUUGUUUGGGAAUGCAGCUCUAAGUGGGUGGUAAAUUCCAUCUAAAGCUAAAUAUUGGCGAGAGACCGAUAGCGAACAAGUACAGUGAUGGAAAGAUGAAAAGAACUUUGAAAAGAGAGUGAAAAAGUACGUGAAAUUGUUGAAAGGGAAGGGCUUGAGAUCAGACAUGGUAUUUUGCAAACCUUCUCUCUCGUGGAGGGGGCCCCUUGCAGUUUACUGGGCCAGCAUCAGUUUGGGCGGUAGGAUAAUGACUAAGGAAUGUGACUUGCCUUCGGGGAAGUGUUAUAGCCUUGGUUGAUACUGCCAGCCUAGACUGAGGACCGCGUCUUUGACAAGGAUGUUGGCAUAAUGAUCUUAAGCCACCCGUCUUGAAACACGGACC
This 614-nucleotide ribosomal RNA is filed under the name Millerozyma farinosa. Its description in RNAcentral is "eukaryotic LSU rRNA". It matches the Rfam family "Eukaryotic large subunit ribosomal RNA", at positions 39 to 667 of the family's 3401-position model. The record is from RNAcentral. Lineage: Eukaryota; Fungi; Ascomycota; Pichiomycetes; Serinales; Debaryomycetaceae.